Molecule: ribosomal RNA, 563 nt
Filed under: uncultured archaeon
Lineage: Archaea
Description: bacterial SSU rRNA
Rfam family: Archaeal small subunit ribosomal RNA
Source: RNAcentral
GGUGCAGCAGGCGCGAAAACUUUACAAUGCUGGCAACAGCGAUAAGGGGACCUCGAGUGCCAGGAUACAAUCUUGGCUGUCGCGAUGCCUAAAAAGCAUUGCAUAGCAAGGGCCGGGCAAGACCGGUGCCAGCCGCCGCGGUAACACCGGCGGCUCGAGUGGUAACCGCUAUUAUUGGGUCUAAAGGGUCUGUAGCCGGCCGGAUAAGUCUUUUGGGAAAUCCAGCUGCUCAACAGUUGGGCUUUCAGAAGAUACUGUUCGGCUCGAGACCGGGAGAGGUGAGAGGUACUUCAGGGGUAGGGGUGAAAUCUUGUAAUCCUUGAAGGACCACCAGUGGCGAAGGCGUCUCACCAGAACGGAUCUGACGGCAAGGGACGAAAGCUAGGGGCACGAACCGGAUUAGAUACCCGGGUAGUCCUAGCCGUAAACGAUACUCGCUAGGUGUCAGCCACGGUGCGACCGUGGUUGGUGCCGUAGGGAAGCCGUGAAGCGAGCCACCUGGGAAGUACGGCCGCAAGGCUGAAACUUAAAGGAAUUGGCGGGGGAGCACAAGGGCGAUUGCG